RNAcentral lists this long non-coding RNA (2371 nucleotides) under Triticum aestivum (bread wheat). RNAcentral describes it as "long non-coding RNA (TAES_LNC005205)". Lineage: Eukaryota; Viridiplantae; Streptophyta; Magnoliopsida; Poales; Poaceae. The record is from RNAcentral.
CUGUUAUGACCGGCAUGUUAGGGGCUUAGCCCAGUUAGUUGUGGCCCAGUCUAUCUUAUCGUUAUUAGGGGCUUAGCCCAAUUAUCGUUAUUAGGGGCUUGGGAGUCAAGUAAACCUCUCUAUAUAAGGAGAGGAGAUGUAUCAAUCUAAUCAAGCAAAGAAGCAAUCAUAUUUGCUCGGCUUCCUUAGGGAGCCGGGAGACCUAACUCUAGCCGCCUCCUUCCCUGCGUCAUCUCCCUCUCAGCCGCCGCCUCCUCGCGCACGACGGCGCCCAGCCGCCGGCGGCCGCGAGUUUGCCCACGACCAGCUCCCUCCUUCCCCUACCACCUCCGUCCUAGACCCGGUAGAACCCUAGUUUCUACUAGUUUGGUAUCAUGUAGCUCAGUUCCGAUCAUGUCUUCGCCGCCGCCCACCCCGUCGCUUCCACUGCCGACCGGCACCACCGCACCGCUGCCAAUCUCCACCGCGCCGCUGCCCUCCCCGUCCGCGCCGCUGGUCGCAUCCUCCAGCGCCGCCACCGUCCAGAUGCCGGCACCUUCCACCACACCACCGGCCGCCGCCUACACCCCGGAGGAGAUCACCGGGGUCCUCAACGACCUCGUCACAGCCGUCCAGGAAAUCCGGCUGUACCUAACCAGCCCCUACGGGACGCCGCCACCCCCACCGUGGUACUCGCCGCAUCCAGGGGCCUCCGCGGCGUUCGCUGGGACGCUGCCCGCCGCCCCGCAGUGGCCGCAGUGGUCGGCGCCGGUUUCCGACGCGCCUCCAGCGCCCAUCGCCGCCUCCGCGCCGCCGUGGCUGCCAUGGCAGCCGCCGCACCAGGCGGCCUUCGCCGCGCUCGUCGGGCCACUGCAGCAGCCGCUGCAGCUGCCAUCCCUCGCCACCACCGCCCAGCCCUGGCUGCAGUGGCAGCCGCCGCUCCUGGCGGCCUCCGCCACGCCCGACGCUCCGCCGCAGCAGCCACCGCCGGUCAGCUCCAGCCCCGCAUCGACCGCACCGGCGGGAGUUCCGCUCCACCAAGUCCGGUUCCCGUCCUCGCCGUCCCCGCUACCGGCUUGGUUGACCGAGUCGUCGUCUCAGCCGGUCUACACGAUGGCCUCGGGGCCGCCGCACGUGCCGUCACAGCAGGCGCAGUACGGCGGGUCCUCCAGUUCCGCGGGUCCCUACGUUGGCCUCGACGCAACGCAGUUCCACGGGGGGCCCCUGUGAUCACCGACCCAGCGCCGCUGCUCGGCACCGCUGAGCCGUACCCCCACGGCGGUCAUACCCAAACAGUGCCGCGCUUCGCCAAGCUCGCAUUCGCCACCUACGAAGGCACCGAGGACCCCCUCAACUGGCUUAAUCAGUGUGACCAGUUCUUCCAGGGGCAACGUACGCUCGCGUCGGACCGCACUUGGCUCGCUUCAUAUCACCUCCGAGGCGCCGCACAGACUCGGUCUUACGCUCUCGAGCAGGACGAGGGCGGCAUGCCUCCAUGGGAGCGUUUUCGCGAGCUUUGCCUCCUUUGCUUCGGGCCGCCAAUACGCGGGAGCCGGCUGGCGGAGUUAGGCCGUCUUCCCUUCACCUCUAUUGUGCAGGAGUUCACAGACCGCUUUCAGGCCCUGGCAUGCCACGCGCCCGGCGUGACGGCUCGCCAGCGGGCUGAGCUCUUCGUCGGCGGUCUGCCGGAUCAUAUCCGCGUGGACGUGGAGCUGCAGGGACCCCAGGACCUCCAGAAGGCCAUGUACUAUGCCCGCGCGUUCGAGCGCCGCGCGGUGGCCAUCCAACAGGCGUCACCGCCCCGGGCCGCUGGGCCGCCACCCUGGUCGGACAUUCCAGGCAGGGUCGUCCUGCUCAGGCUUCCGCGGCACCCCUCGCCGCGACCGCGGGGCGCCCGUUCCGCUGGCUCACACCGGCCGAGCAACUCGAGCGUCGCCAACAAGGGUUGUGCUUCAACUGCGACGAGCCCUACGCGCCCGGCCACGUCUGUCUGCGACUCUUCUACCUGGAGGUUGCGGACUACAUUGAGGAGGACGCCGCUGCAGCCGGGCUCGGCGACCUGCCCGCCCCAGCUGCCGCGGAGGUGUUUGGCGACGGUUGAUCACCUCAAGGAGUUCCGCAAGCGCUUUCCCGCCUUCCAGCUCGAGGACGAGCUGUUUGUGCAGGCGGGGAGAAAUGUUAUGACCGGCAUGUUAGGGGCUUAGCCCAGUUAGUUGUGGCCCAGUCUAUCUUAUCGUUAUUAGGGGCUUAGCCCAAUUAUCGUUAUUAGGGGCUUGGGAGUCAAGUAAAUCUCUCUAUAUAAGGAGACGAGAUGUAUCAAUCUAAUCAAGCAAAGAAGCAAUCAUAUUUGCUCGGCUUCCUUAGGGAGCCGGGAGACCUAACCCUAGCCGCC